AGGGUUAGACUGUCUCCUUUUUCAAAUCAGUGAAAUUAAUCUCCCCGUGAAGAAGCGGGGAUACUCAUAUAAGACGAGAAGACCCCAUGGAGCUUCAAACCCAACUACACCCCUAGCUCUUAUAGCCCCACAACCCCCCUAGGCACCGUGUGCUUGGUUUUAGGUUGGGGCGACCGCGGAGUACAAUAAAACCUCCACAAUGAAUGGGAACACCCCCUUAUCUGAGGGCCACACCCCCUAAGAAUUAGAACACUAACAUAAAAUGAUCCAUUACUUGAUCAAUGAACCAAGUUACCCUGGGGAUAACAGCGCAAUCCAUUUCAAGAG
RNAcentral lists this ribosomal RNA (327 nucleotides) under Mantidactylus melanopleura. RNAcentral describes it as "partial 16S ribosomal RNA". It matches the Rfam family "Bacterial large subunit ribosomal RNA", at positions 2007 to 2498 of the family's 2925-position model. Lineage: Eukaryota; Metazoa; Chordata; Amphibia; Anura; Mantellidae. The record is from RNAcentral.